Molecule: ribosomal RNA, 497 nt
Filed under: uncultured bacterium
Lineage: Bacteria
Description: partial 16S ribosomal RNA
Rfam family: Bacterial small subunit ribosomal RNA
Source: RNAcentral
GAUGAACGCUGGCGGCGUGCCUAAUACAUGCAAGUCGAGCGAACAGACGAGGAGCUUGCUCCUCUGACGUUAGCGGCGGACGGGUGAGUAACACGUGGAUAACCUACCUAUAAGACUUGGAUAACUUCGGGAAACCGGAGCUAAUACCGGAUAAUAUAUUGAACCGCAUGGUUCAAUAGUGAAAGACGGUUUUGCUGUCACUUCUAGAUGGAUCCGCGCCGCAUUAGCUAGUUGGUAAGGUAACGGCUUACCAAGGCAACGAUGCGUAGCCGACCUGAGAGGGGGAUCGGCGACACUGGAACUGAGACACGGUCCAGACUCCUACGGGAGGCAGCAGUAGGGAAUCUUCGGCAAUGGGCGAAAGCUUGACGGAGCAACGCCGCGUGAGUGAUGAAGGUCUUCGGAUCGUAAAACUCUGUUAUUAGGGAAGAACAAAUGUGUAAGUAACGAUGCACGUCUUGACGGUACCUAAUCAGAAAGCCACGGCUAACUACGUG